UACUCUUGACAUCCAGCGAAUCCUUUAGAGAUAGAGGAGUGCCUUCGGGAACGCUGAGACAGGUGCUGCAUGGCU
RNAcentral lists this ribosomal RNA (75 nucleotides) under uncultured Enterobacteriaceae bacterium. RNAcentral describes it as "partial 16S ribosomal RNA". Lineage: Bacteria; Pseudomonadati; Pseudomonadota; Gammaproteobacteria; Enterobacterales; Enterobacteriaceae. The record is from RNAcentral.